AAGUCGUAACAAGGUUUCCGUAGGUGAACCUGCGGAAGGAUCAUUAUUGAAUACUGAAUCGGUUCUGAUGCUGGCUCUUCACUGGGCAUGUGCUCGUCCGUUCAUAUUUACCUUCUCUUGUGCACAUUUUGUAGUCCUUUGGAACAAGUGAAUUUCGCGCUGCUGUGAUUAACUUCGCGGUGGUUGCGGUUUGGGGGAUUGGGUGUAACAGCCCUUCCUCUGUUUAUGCGCGUUGCUGCGAUUUACUUCGUGGUGACUGCGGUUCGGGGGUUGAGCAUCAGCACUUCCCCUUGCCUUUGCUUUUUUCCAAGGCUAUGUUUUCAUAUACCCUAUACAAUGUUACAGAAUGUCUUUAACGAUUGUGCUUGGUCGCAGUCAUUAAACCUAUACAACUUUCAGCAACGGAUCUCUUGGCUCUC
This 419-nucleotide unclassified non-coding RNA is filed under the name air metagenome. RNAcentral's name for it is "partial contains small subunit ribosomal RNA, internal transcribed spacer 1, and 5.8S ribosomal RNA". The stretch from base 1 to 46 matches the Rfam family "Eukaryotic small subunit ribosomal RNA", at positions 1786 to 1831 of the family's 1831-position model. The record is from RNAcentral.